AUCAAACACAGAGUGGCAGAUUAGUAGCAAACAUAUCCAAAUGAGGGACAAAUGGGAAUAUCCAAAUAAACAGGCAAAAGGCUGGGGGCUGGAAGCUUGAAGCCUAUCCCAGCAGACUAAGGGGACAAGGCAGGAGGGACACCCUGGAUGAGGGUUAAUGUAUUGAACUACGAUUCUGUCAGAUGAAGCAUCCUGGGUGGGCAAAAGUGACCAUGGUUUCUGUCACUUCCAUGUUGGACAUGGCAGAAGGGGUGAGGUGGAGCUGGUUUAUGGAUGUAUCACUUGGUGUUCACGCAGAGCCAAACAGAAGGCAGGCCAUGAGCUGUAAUAAGACCUGCCAAAGGUGGAGUUAGAUAAUGAGGAGCUUCAUGCCAGCCCUGUACAGAGAGCGGCAGGUGAGAAGCAAUUAGAGAG
Molecule: long non-coding RNA, 414 nt
Organism: Ictalurus punctatus (channel catfish)
Lineage: Eukaryota; Metazoa; Chordata; Actinopteri; Siluriformes; Ictaluridae
Source: Ensembl